CCUACGGGUGGCUGCAGUGGGGAAUAUUGGACAAUGGGCGAAAGCCUGAUCCAGCCAUGCCGCGUGUGUGAAGAAGGCCUUCGGGUUGUAAAGCACUUUCAGUGGGGAAGAAAGCCUUGGGGCUAAUACCCUCGAGGAAGGACAUCACCCACAGAAGAAGCACCGGCUAACUCCGUGCCAGCAGCCGCGGUAAUACGGAGGGUGCGAGCGUUAAUCGGAAUUACUGGGCGUAAAGCGCGCGUAGGCGGUCUGAUAAGCCGGUUGUGAAAGCCCCGGGCUCAACCUGGGAACGGCAUCCGGAACUGUCAGGCUGGAGUGCAGGAGAGGAAGGUAGAAUUCCCGGUGUAGCGGUGAAAUGCGUAGAGAUCGGGAGGAAUACCAGUGGCGAAGGCGGCCUUCUGGACUGAAACUGACGCUGAGGUGCGAAAGCGUGGGUAGCAAACAGGAUUAGAUACCCGAGUAGUC
This 465-nucleotide ribosomal RNA is filed under the name Vreelandella stevensii. Its description in RNAcentral is "partial 16S ribosomal RNA". It matches the Rfam family "Bacterial small subunit ribosomal RNA", at positions 338 to 795 of the family's 1533-position model. The record is from RNAcentral. Lineage: Bacteria; Pseudomonadati; Pseudomonadota; Gammaproteobacteria; Oceanospirillales; Halomonadaceae.